Nothoprocta perdicaria is the source of this 144-nucleotide long non-coding RNA. RefSeq lists it as uncharacterized. NCBI's taxonomy places the organism in Eukaryota, Metazoa, Chordata, Aves, Tinamiformes, Tinamidae. The record is from RefSeq and is a predicted model, not a curated record. The transcript is spliced from 2 exons.
UAUUUUUAUUCUUCACUGACUUCCUUCUUCAUUUGAAUUAUGGUCAGAGACACUCCAACUGACUUUAUGUUCAUCUGUGCUGGGCUGACUCCUGAAGUUCUCAGCAAGGGCACCCAGCACCUUCCAGGAUGAAGCCUCAUUUCC